GGAGUUAGCCGGUGCUUCUUCUGUGAGUGAUGUCCUUCCUGCCGGCUAUUAACCCGCAGGCCUUCUUCCUCACUGAAAGUGCUUUACAACCCGAAGGCCUUCUUCACACACGCGGCAUGGCUGGAUCAGGGUUGCCCCCAUUGUCCAAUAUUCCCCACUGCUGCCUCCCGUAGGAGUCUGGGCCGUGUCUCAGUCCCAGUGUGGCUGAUCAUCCUCUCAGACCAGCUACGGAUCGUCGCCUUGGUGAGCCGUUACCUCACCAACCAGCUAAUCCGACAUAGGCUCAUCCGAUAGCGCGAGGCCCGAAGGUCCCCCGCUUUCCCCCGUAGGGCGUAUGCGGUAUUAGCCUGGGUUUCCCCCAGGUUAUCCCCCACUACCGGGCAGAUUCCUAUGCAUUACUCACCCGUCCGCCGCUCGCCACCAGGGAGCAAGCUCCCCGUGCUGCCGCUCGACUUGCAUGUGUUAGGCCUGCCGCCAGCGUCAUCUGAGCAGAAUACAACUACUGA
This 506-nucleotide ribosomal RNA is filed under the name uncultured bacterium. RNAcentral's name for it is "partial 16S ribosomal RNA". The record is from RNAcentral.